AGGAGCCUCUCCCAGCCAGGAUUUCAUCAAGGACCCAGGACCUCAGAAGUGAGGACUGAGCCGGGGCAUCCUCCCAGAAGGUCCAGAUAAUCCAGCUCUACUCCUGAUAACAGCUGUGGGAGAUCCCUGGCAGAGCUGUCAGACUGUGAGCCUCCCUCGAUAUGCCCUGGGGGUCAUCAGAGAGGUGAGAGCCUUGGCUGGAAGGGGACAGGCUCACAAGAGGAAAGAGUCUCAGGCCCUGUCACAAGUCAAGGAGCUCCAGGAACCAGGAGGUGGAGGUCUGAGGCUGGUGUCCUGAGGUCAGAGAGCAGAGGAGGUCCAGGCAGAACCAGGAGUCAAGGCCCGUGGUCCCCCAUCUGUCACCUCUGCCCACACUCCUGUCU
RNAcentral lists this long non-coding RNA (383 nucleotides) under Bos indicus x Bos taurus (hybrid cattle). RNAcentral's name for it is "lncRNA (ENSBIXG00005002003.1)". Lineage: Eukaryota; Metazoa; Chordata; Mammalia; Artiodactyla; Bovidae. The record is from RNAcentral.